CUAAAUAUCUAGCCCCCCUAUUUUAAUACAUCUUUAAAAAUAAACUAAAAUAUUCUAUUUUUCUAGUAAAGAAGAUUGAAAAAUUUAUAAGAGCUAUAAAACAAACCGUAAGGGAAAGAUGAAAUAAAAAUGAAAUAUUUCUAAAGCACAAAAAAAUAAAGAUAAACUCUUGUACCUUUUGCAUCAUGGUUUAGCCAGUCUAAUUAGGCAAAAUGUUAUUAAAGUCUAACUUCCCGAAACUAAGUGAGCUAAUUUAAGGCUGCUUAAUGAGCUAACCCGUCUAUGUAGAAAAAUAGUGGGGUGACCUUAAAAUAGAGGUGAAAAACCUACCGAACUUAGUUAUAGCUGGUUUCUCAAGAAAAGAAUUUUAGUUCAACCUAAAGUAAAUAAAAUACAUUAAAAUUUACCAUAUACUUUAGAGUCAUUCAAAUAAGGUACAGCCUAUUUGAUAUGGGAUACAACCCUUACUAACGGGUACAAUAUUUUUAUCAUACCUUUAAGUA
Molecule: ribosomal RNA, 503 nt
Filed under: Pristimantis crenunguis (spring robber frog)
Lineage: Eukaryota; Metazoa; Chordata; Amphibia; Anura; Strabomantidae
Description: partial 16S ribosomal RNA
Rfam family: Bacterial large subunit ribosomal RNA (bases 154-503)
Source: RNAcentral